Molecule: long non-coding RNA, 667 nt
Organism: Gossypium raimondii (Peruvian cotton)
Lineage: Eukaryota; Viridiplantae; Streptophyta; Magnoliopsida; Malvales; Malvaceae
Exons: 2
Source: RefSeq, a predicted model, not a curated record
UUGAAAGGGAAAUUAAUCCCAUCUUCUAAAAUGCUGCGCAGCAACACGAACCAAAUUAAAACAGUAAUAAAAUAUUUUGCGAAAUUUAAAAGAAAUAAAAAGACAAUUUUAUAGCACUGUAAAAACAAAAGGGACCAAUUGCGCAAAUUAUCCACUUGAUGCCCUAUAUAAGCCUAUUUUAAAACCCUAAAACACCACUCCUCUGCCAUUUCAAGUGUUUGCGCCGCAGCCUCCCUUUCUCUGCCGUUCUCCCAACUCCGAACAGAUAACGACGAAUGAGGGCGCCCAACGACGGUGCGUACUAGAGGAGACAUGUGCGACGUGCGCGCGGAGGGCUGAACGUGGGCGGUUACUGCGACGUGUGUGGGGUGCGACUGCUGAUUGCUGCGAUGUGGGGCGUGCACGACGUUAGGGUAGCUACUGUUAACCACUGUUUAGGGUUAGACUGGGAUUUGGGCCUUAUUGGGCCAAAUGUAAUUGGAUUAGAUUGAUUAAUUUGGGCCCCGGGCAUCAAUUGGGUAUUACAAUAGUACUACAAUAGCUUUAAGAGGUUGCUGCCAUUGUUGGAGUGCUUUUCUGGUGCCUGCAAUAGCCAACUUAACUGAGCUGUUCUUGGGCUUAUAUUCACGUACAUACAAAUACAUAUAGAAAUAUGACUUUUUGUGUA